AUUGAACGCUGGCGGCAGGCCUAACACAUGCAAGUCGAGCGGAUGAAGGGAGCUUGCUCCUGGAUUCAGCGGCGGACGGGUGAGUAAUGCCUAGGAAUCUGCCUGGUAGUGGGGGAUAACGUCCGGAAACGGGCGCUAAUACCGCAUACGUCCUGAGGGAGAAAGUGGGGGAUCUUCGGACCUCACGCUAUCAGAUGAGCCUAGGUCGGAUUAGCUAGUUGGUGGGGUAAAGGCCUACCAAGGCGACGAUCCGUAACUGGUCUGAGAGGAUGAUCAGUCACACUGGAACUGAGACACGGUCCAGACUCCUACGGGAGGCAGCAGUGGGGAAUAUUGGACAAUGGGCGAAAGCCUGAUCCAGCCAUGCCGCGUGUGUGAAGAAGGCCUUCGGAUUGUAAAGCACUUUAAGUUGGGAGGAAGGGUAGUAAGUUAAUACCUUGCUGUUUUGACGUUACCAACAGAAUAAGCACCGGCUAACUUCGUG
RNAcentral lists this ribosomal RNA (484 nucleotides) under uncultured bacterium. RNAcentral's name for it is "partial 16S ribosomal RNA". It matches the Rfam family "Bacterial small subunit ribosomal RNA", at positions 30 to 507 of the family's 1533-position model. The record is from RNAcentral.